UGGGCAGACUAAAAUUACACAAAUAAUACAUACAACUUUUCCUGACACUUUCUUACAUGUAACUGACACACUUCUGUUGAAUAUUUACUUUACAGAAAUGGUUCAGUGUCAUCAGAAUAAGUCCGUUAGCAUCACAACCGUGAGCUACCUAUAGAGGCUAUCUAUAAGAGGAGUGUCAGAAAAAGCCCUUUAAUGGGACCUGCUGAUAGAGAAAUGGGAAACACAGAGUUGGAGCGGACCUCUUGUUGAAGAACUUCUCCAGGCACUAUGAACCAUCUGACUAGCCAUCACAUUAAACACUGCAUUGAGGACACUACAACCAGAGA
Long non-coding RNA from Cyprinus carpio (common carp), 326 nucleotides. RefSeq lists it as uncharacterized. NCBI's taxonomy places the organism in Eukaryota, Metazoa, Chordata, Actinopteri, Cypriniformes, Cyprinidae. The record is from RefSeq and is a predicted model, not a curated record. The transcript is spliced from 4 exons.